This 501-nucleotide ribosomal RNA is filed under the name uncultured bacterium. Its description in RNAcentral is "partial 16S ribosomal RNA". It matches the Rfam family "Bacterial small subunit ribosomal RNA", at positions 30 to 523 of the family's 1533-position model. The record is from RNAcentral.
AUUGAACGCUGGCGGCAGGCUUAACACAUGCAAGUCGAGCGGAGCGAGGGUGCUUGCACCUUAGCUUAGCGGCGGACGGGUGAGUAAUGCUUAGGAAUCUGCCUAUUAGUGGGGGACAACAUUCCGAAAGGAAUGCUAAUACCGCAUACGCCCUACGGGGGAAAGCAGGGGAUCUUCGGACCUUGCGCUAAUAGAUGAGCCUAAGUCGGAUUAGCUAGUUGGUGGGGUAAAGGCCUACCAAGGCGACGAUCUGUAGCGGGUCUGAGAGGAUGAUCCGCCACACUGGGACUGAGACACGGCCCAGACUCCUACGGGAGGUAGCAGUGGGGAAUAUUGGACAAUGGGGGGAACCCUGAUCCAGCCAUGCCGCGUGUGUGAAGAAGGCCUUAUGGUUGUAAAGCACUUUAAGCGAGGAGGAGGCUACUCUAGUUAAUACCUAGGGAUAGUGGACGUUACUCGCAGAAUAAGCACCGGCUAACUCUGUGCCAGCCGCCGCCGUAA